GUCCUCUUGAUAAUAUUAUGAGGUCCGGCCUGCUCACUGACGAGGUUUAUUAAAGAGCCGCGGUAAUUUGACCGUGCAAAGGUAGCAUAAUCAUUAGUCUCUUAAUUAGGGGCUGGAAUGAAUGGCUUGACGAGAAAUCAACUGUCUCUUGAUAAAUUUUUGAAUUUAACUUUUGAGUCAAAAGGCUUAAAUUUUUCUUAAGGACGAGAAGACCCUAUAGAGCUUGACAUUUUAUUUAUAUAUAAUUUUUAGUUAGUCUUUUUAUAUUUAUUGAUGAUGUUUUGUUGGGGUGACAUGAAAAAUAAUUAAACUCUUCAUUAUUAAAUCAUUGAUUUAUGUAUAAAUGAUGAUCCAUAAUUUAUGAUCAUAAGAUUAAGUUACCUUAGGGAUAACAGCGUAAUUAUUUUCGAGAGCUCAUAUCGACAAAUUAGAUUUCGACCUCGAUGUUGGAUUAAGAAAAAUUUUGGGUGCAGGAGCCCAGUGAUUAGGUCUGUUCGACCUUUAAAUUCUU
RNAcentral lists this ribosomal RNA (511 nucleotides) under Xenocatantops brachycerus. RNAcentral's name for it is "partial 16S ribosomal RNA". It matches the Rfam family "Archaeal large subunit ribosomal RNA", at positions 1911 to 2666 of the family's 2987-position model. RNAcentral also lists the same sequence under 1 other name. The record is from RNAcentral. Lineage: Eukaryota; Metazoa; Arthropoda; Insecta; Orthoptera; Acrididae.